This 467-nucleotide ribosomal RNA is filed under the name uncultured bacterium. RNAcentral describes it as "partial 16S ribosomal RNA". It matches the Rfam family "Bacterial small subunit ribosomal RNA", at positions 28 to 507 of the family's 1533-position model. The record is from RNAcentral.
GAUGAACGCUGACAGAAUGCUUAACACAUGCAAGUCAACUUGAAUUUGGGUUUUUAACUUAGGUUUGGGAGGCGGACGGGUGAGUAACGCGUAAAGAACUUGCCUCACAGCUAGGGACAACAUUUGGAAACGAAUGCUAAUACCUAAUAUUAUGAUAAUAGGGCAUCCUAUAAUUAUGAAAGCUAUAAGCGCUGUGAGAGAGCUUUGCGUCCCAUUAGCUAGUUGGAGAGGUAACGGCUCACCAAGGCGAUGAUGGGUAGCCGGCCUGAGAGGGUGAUCGGCCACAAGGGGACUGAGACACGGCCCUUACUCCUACGGGAGGCAACAGUGGGGAAUAUUGGACAAUGGACCGAGAGUCUGAUCCAGCAAUUCUGUGUGCACGAUGAAGUUUUUCGGAAUGUAAAGUGCUUUCAGUUGGGAAGAAACAAAUGACGGUACCAACAGAAGAAGUGACGGCUAAAUACGUG